CCAGCUAGAUCUCUAGGUUCUCUUGCCUUUCCCCACGCAGCUAGGCAAUUGUCCUCACACCUUUCCCUUCUCUUAAAUGACUAGAAGUUCAUUCUCUGGAGAAGUUCCAGGCUGGGGAACACCAGGUCUAAGAGAAGAUAGGGCCAAGGUGCUGCAUGAAAAACAAGGAGAUUAAGGGAAAUUCUGCUUGAUCUGUCUCUUGCCUGUCCUGCUGUUCCAUUUUGCAGUAUCUUAUGAGAUUCCUAAGAGUAUCCUGGACACAUUGAAGAGAAGGGUGAGCCUUACUCAUUUCCAGUGAGAGAAAUGAGUGAAAUGGGUCUGAUUUACAUCACAGUUCAGCCUUCUGUGGUGAAGUUGGUUUUCCUACUGUGACCUGUGCACUCCGGUCUACCAGCCUGACACUACACGCCAUCUGCUGGUUCCAAACUAUAUAGCUCCAGAGUAACUGCUGACGCUGUUGGGGAACAGAGGACCUGGCCUCCUGAAGAAGCACCAACAGGCCCUCUGCUUCAAGUUGUAGGUGUGAACAAAUCCAGACCACUAAGAGGCCCUCCAGUCCUCCUUGAAUUUGGGUAUGGAUCCUAAGAUUUGCUCCAGUACCUCUGCAGCCAGCACCCAGAGCAGCUAAUGAAAGGAUUCAAGCCGGACGUUCAGGGAUAAGGAGAGACGGCUACAAUGAUACUUCAAAUUGGAAUGAAAAGCCUGGAUUGAAGCCCUCUGCCUUCUGAAUUUUCUCUGAGGUUUGGUGCAGAGCUGAGUUUGGUAACCUCUGGAACAGAUGAUAAGCUUUUGGCAUUAAGUGAACCUGCACUUCGUCAGGAGUUAUCCAAAGGCUCAAUGGACUGGAUUCCAAGAUGAUGCCCUCACCUGGCUACGACUGACACAGGAUGUUGUUUAGGAGCUCAGCUGGGGACUGUCAGCUGGGGUAGCUAUCUGUGAUGUCUUCUUGUGUCUAAGCUUUUCAUAGUUUAGUGGCUGGGUCCCUAUGCAAAGUAUCACAAGAGCAAGUGGGAAGUAUCUUUGAAGAUGCAGGAAGUGGAAGCUGCCAGUCCUUUUAAAGACUAGGAACCGUAAUUGAUUUGUGUCACUUCUGCUAUAUUCUGUUGGCAAAGGCAAUCACAGGUCAGCCCAAAUUUUAGCAGAUGGAGGAUAUAGGCUUCACUUGUAUAAGGUAUGAUGUGGUAAUUCAAUAUGUAUGCUGCAUGUAGUGAUCAAAUCAGGGCAAUUAACAUUUCUUUCUCCACAAACAUUUAUUACUUUGCUGUGUUGAGAACCCUUGCACUUCACUCUUCUAUUCUGUAUAAAAUAUAUGGUGAAUUAUUGUGCACUAUACAGAUUUCACUUCUUAGUGGAGGAAUAAGUACAGCAUGGAAGGAGGGAAGGAAAUGAUGGCAGCCUUCUUGGAGAAAGUUACCACAUGAUAUGUCCCCAGACAAAUGUGUAGGUUCAGUGAAGCUCCCACAGGAUGGACUCAGGUUGACUGCCAAUCAAAGAGUUAUGGAGAAAAUAAACCCAUUUGCAAAAAAUAAAAUCAAAUCUUCACUCUCCCCGCUCUCUACCCCAGUAGUGUUCCGCACUCACCAAACACACACCUGGAGGCAGAAUGAGAUGGCUCAGAACUCUAACAAAGCAGCUGGUGGAACUGAGCUGUGGGGUAAGGGCUUAUGUCACUAUUUUAUCCUUUGACUAUUCCCUCAUGCUGGUGUGGCCUAGAAAAUUACCUGUUACAUACAAGUAAAAAUUCAGACUCAGAGGACUAAGAUUUACCAUCAUCAAGACAAUUCAAAAGAGUAUGCUGUAGGUUUGAAGACAAUUUCCAGAGAGACACACAUUCUCAGAAUGUUUCCAGUAAUGACAAAAUCAUUGGAAUAAGCGGCUGACCUCCUCCCUGGGGGACUAUGCUCAUUAAGAUGUAUGUGUUCAGGACUGUUAAAAUUCCAGCUCAUUAUCUAAUAGUUGUACCUUGUGCACUUGGAUACCUCUGAAAAUGCUUCCAGCCCUUCCAUUUCAGUCAUAACAACCAACUGACAGUCUCCUAUACUUUUGAGAGGCUUUAAGGGAAGGUUCUUAUAGCAAAGUUAAAAGUGAAAAGGAAAAACUCAAAAGGAAGUACCACUAUUGAUAACCCUGUCUAUUCAUUUCCCUUGAAGUAAUUUAAGACCAUGAGGAAAGAAUUCUUCCUAGCUUUAGGGUCAGUGCUCAAGUCUUCAUUCAUUCUUUUCUCUCUUUAAUUUGCACAUUCCAGCAGGGAAACUGUAUUCCAAUCUCAAGAACAAUUCCAGAGCCCAAGCCAACUGUGCUGUGGAAGCAAUGUGAAUCAAUAUUCAUUGAUCACUAGCAUUUGUUCUUUGGCCUCUAAUUCAAAUGUCCUUUCCACUAGAAGCCUCCUCUAAACUUUCUUUUCCUGUGGUAGAAUCUAAUCAUUCCCACCACCAUAUUCCCUUUCGGUAAAGCAUUUGACUCUGCAUUUAAUUCUUUUUUCUCCCUUUUUAAUUUAUAACUAAAUUAUGAGCAGCUUGAGAUCAAUUAUCAGUUACAUUCAUGCUUAGGUCUCCAGUACCAAGCACAAAGUCUGGCAUCUGAGGGAGUACUCAAUCAAUGUUUGUUCAAUGAAUAAAUGUGGUAAGAGGUCUUCCAGAAGUAUGCCAAUAGGGUGCACUGGAGAGCCAACGAGUUCAGUUUAAUUAUAUCUAAAAUAAGAGAUAUGUCUCUAAGGAAGUAGCUUCACAAAUAUGAGAGGAUAAAAUACACAUGCAAAUAAAAUCUGGACAUUAAAGAAUAUGGUACAGAGAAGGCACUCUAUUUUAUGAGAUUUGAGUGAGUUACAAAACCAGCUCAGGAUCUAAGGAGCAGAGGGAUCUUUUGUUUAUCCACUCAAGUCUAAAAAUCUAAUGUACAUGUGACAAAAUUAAUAUUGUAUCAUUGUAUUAGUGAUUUUUAUUAUAAAAAUAAAUUGUAGCUACUCUCACAAAAAGUGAACAUAUGAGAUGUCAGAUAUGUUGGUCUACUUUACUAUGGUAGACAUUUUACUAUCUAUAUAUAUUUCCUAACAUCAUAUUGUAAACUUCAAAUACACACAGUGAAAUUUAUUUAAAAACUCAUUUGCUGAUCACCUUCUACAAAUUAUAUACUCCUAAUUCUCAUUUAAGAACUUUCAUGUUUCCUGAAAACACUGCCACUAAACUUAAAAACUUAAAUGUCAAAAUA
RNAcentral lists this long non-coding RNA (3207 nucleotides) under Heterocephalus glaber (naked mole-rat). RNAcentral's name for it is "lncRNA (ENSHGLG00100040515.1)". The record is from RNAcentral. Lineage: Eukaryota; Metazoa; Chordata; Mammalia; Rodentia; Bathyergidae.